GAAGCAGGUCGUCUACAAAUGGUUUAGCACCAGGUUCCCCACGAACGUGUGUUGCAUGACGGGCAAGGAGGCCACCUUUCCAGCCACACCCUUCCCAGGAGGAAGGGCACUCUGCACCGGACCCAGUCCUAGCACAUGGUGGGGCACACCCCACCAAGGGUGAGGCAGCCCACCAGCGGGGGAUUCUGACUUAGAGGCGUUCAGUCACAAUCCAACAGACCGUAGCUUCACCCCAUUGGCUCCUCAACCAAGCACAUGUCUGAACUUGCCAUUCCUCUCAUGCUGAGCAGGAUUACCAUUGCAACAACACACAUCACGGAGGGUAAAACUAACCUGUCUCACUACGAUCUAAAUCCAGCUCACAUGCCCUAUUAGUGGGUGAACAAUCCAAUGCUUGGUGAAUUCUACUUCACAAUGAUAGGAAGAACCAACAUUACAGGAUCAAAAAACAUCCCUAUGAAUGCUUGGCCGCAACGAACCAGUUAUCC
RNAcentral lists this long non-coding RNA (488 nucleotides) under Homo sapiens (human). RNAcentral's name for it is "HSALNT0040027". Lineage: Eukaryota; Metazoa; Chordata; Mammalia; Primates; Hominidae. The record is from RNAcentral.